UGGGGAAUAUUGCACAAUGGGCGGAAGCCUGAUGCAGCGACGCCGCGUGGGGGAUGAAGGCCUUCGGGUUGUAAACUCCUUUCGACAGGGACGAAGCUUUUGUGACGGUACCUGUAUAAGAAGCACCGGCUAACUACGUGCCAGCAGCCGCGGUAAUACGUAGGUCCCGAGCGUUGUCCGGAUUUAUUGGGCGUAAAGCGAGCGCAGGCGGUUAGAAAAGUCUGAAGUGAAAGGCAGUGGCUCAACCAUUGUAGGCUUUGGAAACUGUUUAACUUGAGUGCAGAAGGGGAGAGUGGAAUUCCAUGUGUAGCGGUGAAAUGCGUAGAUAUAUGGAGGAACACCGGUGGCGAAAGCGGCUCUCUGGUCUGUAACUGACGCUGAGGCUCGAAAGCGUGGGGAGCGAACAGG
RNAcentral lists this ribosomal RNA (408 nucleotides) under Verrucomicrobiota bacterium. RNAcentral describes it as "Verrucomicrobia bacterium partial 16S ribosomal RNA". It matches the Rfam family "Bacterial small subunit ribosomal RNA", at positions 355 to 776 of the family's 1533-position model. The record is from RNAcentral. Lineage: Bacteria; Pseudomonadati; Verrucomicrobiota.